GUGCUCACUUUGGCAGCACAUAUGCUAAAAUUGGAACAAUACAGAGAAGAUUAGCAUGGCCCUUGCACAAGGAUGACACACAAAUUUGUGAAGCAUUUCAUAUUUUU
Small nuclear RNA from Panthera leo (lion), 107 nucleotides. The record is from Ensembl. Lineage: Eukaryota; Metazoa; Chordata; Mammalia; Carnivora; Felidae.